RNAcentral lists this non-coding RNA (53 nucleotides) under Escherichia coli. RNAcentral also lists the same sequence under 1 other name. Lineage: Bacteria; Pseudomonadati; Pseudomonadota; Gammaproteobacteria; Enterobacterales; Enterobacteriaceae. The record is from RNAcentral.
UUAUAGUUUUUCCGCUGCCGCAAAAUCGGCAGCCGGGAUUUGCAGCCCGUGUA